AGAGUUUGAUCAUGGCUCAGAUUGAACGCUGGCGGCAGGCCUAACACAUGCAAGUCGAACGGUAACAGGAAGCAGCUUGCUGCUUCGCUGACGAGUGGCGGACGGGUGAGUAAUGUCUGGGAAGCUGCCUGAUGGAGGGGGAUAACUACUGGAAACGGUAGCUAAUACCGCAUAAUGUCGCAAGACCAAAGAGGGGGACCUUCGGGCCUCUUGCCAUCGGAUGUGCCCAGACGGGAUUAGCUUGUUGGUGGGGUAACGGCUCACCAAGGCGACGAUCCCUAGCUGGUCUGAGAGGAUGACCAGCCACACUGGAACUGAGACACGGUCCAGACUCCUACGGGAGGCAGCAGUGGGGAAUAUUGCACAAUGGGCGCAAGCCUGAUGCAGCCAUGCCGCGUGUAUGAAGAAGGCCUUCGGGUUGUAAAGCACUUUCAGCGGGGAGGAAGGGAGUAAAGUUAAUACCUUUGCUCAUUGACGUUACCCGCAGAAGAAGCACCGGCUAACUCCGUGCCAGCAGCCGCGGUAAUACGGAGGGUGCAAGCGUUAAUCGGAAUUACUGGGCGUAAAGCGCACGCAGGCGGUUUGUUAAGUCAGAUGUGAAAUCCCCGGGCUCAACCUGGGAACUGCAUCUGAUACUGGCAAGCUUGAGUCUCGUAGAGGGGGGUAGAAUUCCAGGUGUAGCGGUGAAAUGCGUAGAGAUCUGGAGGAAUACCGGUGGCGAAGGCGGCCCCCUGGACGAAGACUGACGCUCAGGUGCGAAAGCGUGGGGAGCAAACAGGAUUAGAUACCCUGGUAGUCCACGCCGUAAACGAUGUCGACUUGGAGGUUGUGCCCUUGAGGCGUGGCUUCCGGAGCUAACGCGUUAAGUCGACCGCCUGGGGAGUACGGCCGCAAGGUUAAAACUCAAAUGAAUUGACGGGGGCCCGCACAAGCGGUGGAGCAUGUGGUUUAAUUCGAUGCAACGCGAAGAACCUUACCUGGUCUUGACAUCCACGGAAGUUUUCAGAGAUGAGAAUGUGCCUUCGGGAACCGUGAGACAGGUGCUGCAUGGCUGUCGUCAGCUCGUGUUGUGAAAUGUUGGGUUAAGUCCCGCAACGAGCGCAACCCUUAUCCUUUGUUGCCAGCGGUCCGGCCGGGAACUCAAAGGAGACUGCCAGUGAUAAACUGGAGGAAGGUGGGGAUGACGUCAAGUCAUCAUGGCCCUUACGACCAGGGCUACACACGUGCUACAAUGGCGCAUACAAAGAGAAGCGACCUCGCGAGAGCAAGCGGACCUCAUAAAGUGCGUCGUAGUCCGGAUUGGAGUCUGCAACUCGACUCCAUGAAGUCGGAAUCGCUAGUAAUCGUGGAUCAGAAUGCCACGGUGAAUACGUUCCCGGGCCUUGUACACACCGCCCGUCACACCAUGGGAGUGGGUUGCAAAAGAAGUAGGUAGCUUAACCUUCGGGAGGGCGCUUACCACUUUGUGAUUCAUGACUGGGGUGAAGUCGGAACAAGGUAACCGUAGGGGAACCUGCGGUUG
RNAcentral lists this ribosomal RNA (1522 nucleotides) under metagenome. Its description in RNAcentral is "bacterial SSU rRNA". It matches the Rfam family "Bacterial small subunit ribosomal RNA". The record is from RNAcentral.